AUUGAACGCUGGCGGCAGGCCUAACACAUGCAAGUCGAGCGGAUGAAGGGAGCUUGCUCCUGGAUUCAGCGGCGGACGGGUGAGUAAUGCCUAGGAAACUGCCUGGUAGUGGGGGAUAACGUCCGGAAACGGGCGCUAAUACCGCAUACGUCCCGAGGGAGAAAGUGGGGGAUCUUCGGACCUCACGCUAUCAGAUGAGCCUAGGUCGGAUUAGCUAGUUGGUGGGGUAAAGGCCUACCAAGGCGACGAUCCGUAACUGGUCUGAGAGGAUGAUCAGUCACACUGGAACUGAGACACGGUCCAGACUCCUACGGGAGGCGGCGGUGGGGAAUAUUGGACGAUGGGCGAAAGCCUGAUCCAGCCAUGCCGCGUGUGUGAAGAAGAUCUUCGGAUUGUAAAGCACUUUAAGUUGGGAGGAAGGGCAGUAAGUUAAUACCUUGCUGUUUUGACGUUACCAACAGAAUAAGCACCGGCUAACUUCGUG
This 484-nucleotide ribosomal RNA is filed under the name uncultured bacterium. Its description in RNAcentral is "partial 16S ribosomal RNA". It matches the Rfam family "Bacterial small subunit ribosomal RNA", at positions 30 to 507 of the family's 1533-position model. The record is from RNAcentral.